AACGAACGCUGGCGGCAGGCCUAACACAUGCAAGUCGAGCGAGGACUUCGGUUCUAGCGGCGGACGGGUGAGUAACGCGUGGGAAUGUGCCCUUCUCUACGGAAUAGCCCUGGGAAACUGGGAGUAAUACCGUAUACGCCCUAUUGGGGAAAGAUUUAUCGGAGAAGGAUCAGCCCGCGUUGGAUUAGGUAGUUGGUGGGGUAAUGGCCUACCAAGCCGACGAUCCAUAGCUGGUUUGAGAGGAUGAUCAGCCACACUGGGACUGAGACACGGCCCAGACUCCUACGGGAGGCAGCAGUGGGGAAUCUUAGACAAUGGGGGCAACCCUGAUCUAGCCAUGCCGCGUGAGUGAUGAAGGCCUUAGGGUUGGAAAGCUCUUUCAGCUGGGAAGAUAAUGACGGUACCAGCAGAAGAAGCCCCGGCUAACUCCGUG
This 433-nucleotide ribosomal RNA is filed under the name uncultured bacterium. Its description in RNAcentral is "partial 16S ribosomal RNA". It matches the Rfam family "Bacterial small subunit ribosomal RNA", at positions 29 to 507 of the family's 1533-position model. The record is from RNAcentral.